RNAcentral lists this ribosomal RNA (253 nucleotides) under uncultured bacterium. RNAcentral describes it as "partial 16S ribosomal RNA". It matches the Rfam family "Bacterial small subunit ribosomal RNA", at positions 524 to 776 of the family's 1533-position model. The record is from RNAcentral.
UACAGAGGGUGCAAGCGUUAAUCGGAAUUACUGGGCGUAAAGCGCGCGUAGGCGGCUGCCUAAGUCGGGUGUGAAAGCCCCGGGCUCAACCUGGGAACUGCACUCGAUACUGGGCGGCUAGAGUAUGAGAGAGGGAGGUAGAAUUCCACGUGUAGCGGUGAAAUGCGUAGAUAUGUGGAGGAAUACCGGUGGCGAAGGCGGCCUCCUGGUUCAAUACUGACGCUGAGGUGCGAAAGCGUGGGGAGCAAACAGG